RNAcentral lists this ribosomal RNA (497 nucleotides) under uncultured bacterium. RNAcentral describes it as "partial 16S ribosomal RNA". It matches the Rfam family "Bacterial small subunit ribosomal RNA", at positions 28 to 507 of the family's 1533-position model. The record is from RNAcentral.
GAUGAACGCUGGCGGCGUGCCUAAUACAUGCAAGUCGAGCGAACGGACGAGAAGCUUGCUUCUCUGAUGUUAGCGGCGGACGGGUGAGUAACACGUGGAUAACCUACCUAUAAGACUGGGAUAACUUCGGGAAACCGGAGCUAAUACCGGAUAAUAUUUUGAACCGCAUGGUUCAAAAGUGAAAGACGGUUUUGCUGUGACUUAUAGAUGGAUCCGCGCUGCAUUAGCUAGGUGGUAAGGUAACGGCUUACCAAGGCAACGAUGCAUAGCCGACCUGAGAGGGUGAUCCGCCACCCUGGAACUGAGACACGGUCCAGACUCCUACGGGAGGCAGCAGUAGGGAAUCUUCCGCAAUGGGCGAAAGCCUGACGGAGCAACGCCGCGUGAGUGAUGAAGGUCUUCGGAUCGUAAAACUCUGUUAUUAGGGAAGAACAUAUGUGUAAGUAACUGUGCACAUCUUGACGGUACCUAAUCAGAAAGCCACGGCUAACUACGUG